AUCAAGGAGGGACACGUCCGA
Molecule: unclassified non-coding RNA, 21 nt
Filed under: Mus musculus (house mouse)
Lineage: Eukaryota; Metazoa; Chordata; Mammalia; Rodentia; Muridae
Description: oocyte_clustered_small_RNA13403
Source: RNAcentral